AAGGCAAACAUAAUAAUUAGGGAUGUAAUGACUAACCGCGAGCUGGUUGAAAAUCGAUUCAAAUAUAUGAGGAUUCAAAUCGGUUGAGAUACUAAACAAAUUGCGAUUAAUUUAGGUGUAGGAGUUUAUAUGAAUGUGUGUCUGAAGGGAACUUACUGUCUUUAGAA
Sinocyclocheilus anshuiensis is the source of this 167-nucleotide long non-coding RNA. RefSeq lists it as uncharacterized. The transcript has 3 exons. NCBI's taxonomy places the organism in Eukaryota, Metazoa, Chordata, Actinopteri, Cypriniformes, Cyprinidae. The record is from RefSeq and is a predicted model, not a curated record.